This 253-nucleotide ribosomal RNA is filed under the name uncultured bacterium. RNAcentral's name for it is "partial 16S ribosomal RNA". It matches the Rfam family "Bacterial small subunit ribosomal RNA", at positions 524 to 776 of the family's 1533-position model. The record is from RNAcentral.
GACGGAGGAUGCAAGUGUUAUCCGGAAUCACUGGGCGUAAAGCGUCUGUAGGUGGUUUAGUAAGUCGACUGUUAAAUCUUGGGGCUCAACCUCAAAAUCGCAUUCGAAACUACUAGACUUGAGUAUAGUAGAGGUAAAGGGAAUUUCCAGUGGAGCGGUGAAAUGCGUAGAUAUUGGAAAGAACACCGAUGGCGAAGGCACUUUACUGGGCUAUUACUGACACUCAGAGACGAAAGCUAGGGUAGCAAAUGGG